CCAAUAGCGUAUAUUAAAGUUGUUGCAGUUAAAAAGCUCGUAGUUGAAUUUCGGGAUCAAUAUGUUGGUCGUGCCUUGGUACGUACUGGCGUCAUUGGUUUCUACCUUCUGAAGAACCUCGAUGUCAUUAAUUUGGUGUCUUGGGGAAUCAGGACUGUUACUUUGAAAAAAUUAGAGUGUUUAAAGCAAGCUCACGCUUG
RNAcentral lists this ribosomal RNA (200 nucleotides) under uncultured Glomus. RNAcentral's name for it is "partial small subunit ribosomal RNA". It matches the Rfam family "Eukaryotic small subunit ribosomal RNA", at positions 591 to 797 of the family's 1831-position model. The record is from RNAcentral. Lineage: Eukaryota; Fungi; Glomeromycota; Glomeromycetes; Glomerales; Glomeraceae.